Molecule: transfer RNA, 73 nt
Filed under: Camelus bactrianus (Bactrian camel)
Lineage: Eukaryota; Metazoa; Chordata; Mammalia; Artiodactyla; Camelidae
Also listed under: 2 other names
Rfam family: tRNA
About the family: Transfer RNA (tRNA) molecules are approximately 80 nucleotides in length.
Source: Rfam by way of RNAcentral
GGAGGUACAGCUCAAGUGGUAGAGCACAUGCUUAGCAUGCCGGAGGUCCUGGGUUCAAGCCCCAGUACCUCUU